CCUACGGGAGGCAGCAGUAGGGAAUUUUGCGCAAUGGGCGAAAGCCUGACGCAGCAACGCCGCGUGAUCGAGACGCCCUUCGGGGUGUAAAGAUCUGUCAGUGGGGACGAAACUUGACGGUACCUACAGAGGAAGCACCGGCUAACUCCGUGCCAGCAGCCGCGGUAAUACGGGGGGUGCAAGCGUUGUCCGGAAUCAUUGGGCGUAAAGAGUUCGUAGGCGGCACGUAAAGUCUGGUGUUAAAGGCAGAGGCUUAACUUCGGUACGGCACUGGAUACUGGCGGGCUAGAAUGCGGUAGAGGUAGAGGGAAUUCCUGGUGGAGCGGUGAAAUGCUUAGAUAUGAGGAGGAACAUCGGUGGCGUAGGCGGUUUGCUGGACCGUAAUUGACGCUGAGGCACGAAAGCGAGGGUAGCAAAUGGGAUUAGAUACCCUUGUAGUC
RNAcentral lists this ribosomal RNA (440 nucleotides) under uncultured bacterium. RNAcentral describes it as "partial 16S ribosomal RNA". It matches the Rfam family "Bacterial small subunit ribosomal RNA", at positions 338 to 795 of the family's 1533-position model. The record is from RNAcentral.